This 878-nucleotide ribosomal RNA is filed under the name Bacillus siamensis. RNAcentral's name for it is "bacterial SSU rRNA". It matches the Rfam family "Bacterial small subunit ribosomal RNA", at positions 71 to 932 of the family's 1533-position model. Lineage: Bacteria; Bacillati; Bacillota; Bacilli; Caryophanales; Bacillaceae. The record is from RNAcentral.
GAUGGGAGCUUGCUCCCUGAUGUUAGCGGCGGACGGGUGAGUAACACGUGGGUAACCUGCCUGUAAGACUGGGAUAACUCCGGGAAACCGGGGCUAAUACCGGAUGGUUGUCUGAACCGCAUGGUUCAGACAUAAAAGGUGGCUUCGGCUACCACUUACAGAUGGACCCGCGGCGCAUUAGCUAGUUGGUGAGGUAACGGCUCACCAAGGCGACGAUGCGUAGCCGACCUGAGAGGGUGAUCGGCCACACUGGGACUGAGACACGGCCCAGACUCCUACGGGAGGCAGCAGUAGGGAAUCUUCCGCAAUGGACGAAAGUCUGACGGAGCAACGCCGCGUGAGUGAUGAAGGUUUUCGGAUCGUAAAGCUCUGUUGUUAGGGAAGAACAAGUGCCGUUCAAAUAGGGCGGCACCUUGACGGUACCUAACCAGAAAGCCACGGCUAACUACGUGCCAGCAGCCGCGGUAAUACGUAGGUGGCAAGCGUUGUCCGGAAUUAUUGGGCGUAAAGGGCUCGCAGGCGGUUUCUUAAGUCUGAUGUGAAAGCCCCCGGCUCAACCGGGGAGGGUCAUUGGAAACUGGGGAACUUGAGUGCAGAAGAGGAGAGUGGAAUUCCACGUGUAGCGGUGAAAUGCGUAGAGAUGUGGAGGAACACCAGUGGCGAAGGCGACUCUCUGGUCUGUAACUGACGCUGAGGAGCGAAAGCGUGGGGAGCGAACAGGAUUAGAUACCCUGGUAGUCCACGCCGUAAACGAUGAGUGCUAAGUGUUAGGGGGUUUCCGCCCCUUAGUGCUGCAGCUAACGCAUUAAGCACUCCGCCUGGGGAGUACGGUCGCAAGACUGAAACUCAAAGGAAUUGACGGGGGCCCGCACAAGCGG